Molecule: ribosomal RNA, 253 nt
Filed under: uncultured bacterium
Lineage: Bacteria
Description: partial 16S ribosomal RNA
Rfam family: Bacterial small subunit ribosomal RNA
Source: RNAcentral
UACGUAGGGAGCAAGCGUUGUUCGGAUUUACUGGGCGUAAAGGGCGCGUAGGCGGCGCGGUAAGUCACUUGUGAAAUCUCUGAGCUUAACUCAGAACGGCCAAGUGAUACUGCAGUGCUAGAGUGCAGAAAGGGCAAUCGGAAUUCUUGGUGUAGCGGUGAAAUGCGUAGAGAUCGUAAGGAAGGCCAGUGGCGAAGGCGAGUUCCUGGACAGUUACUGACGCUGAGGCACGAAGGCCAGGGGAGCAAACGGG